CCUACGGGCGGCAGCAGUGAGGAAUAUUGGUCAAUGGGCGGAAUCCUGAACCAGCCAUGCCGCGUGCAGGACGACGGCUCUACGAGUUGUAAACUGCUUUUGUACCGGGGUAAAAUGCUCUACGUGUAGGGUUUUGAAAGUACGGUAUGAAUAAGGAUCGGCUAACUCCGUGCCAGCAGCCGCGGUAAUACGGAGGAUCCGAGCUUUAUCCGGAUUCAUUGGGUUUAAAGGGUGCGUAGGUGGUUUUAUAAGUUAGCGGUGAAAUAUCGUUGCUCAACCUGGGGGCUGCCGCUGAUACUGUAGGACUAGAGAACAGAUGCAGCAGGCGGAAUGUGUGGUGUAGCGGUGAAAUGCAUAGAUAUUACACAGAACACCGAUUGCGAAGGCAGCUUGCUAGGCCGGAACUGACACUGAUGCACGAAAGCGUGGGGAUCGAACAGGAUUAGAUACCCCUGUAGUC
Molecule: ribosomal RNA, 460 nt
Filed under: uncultured bacterium
Lineage: Bacteria
Description: partial 16S ribosomal RNA
Rfam family: Bacterial small subunit ribosomal RNA
Source: RNAcentral